GGAAGUAAAAGUGGUAACAAGGUUUCCGUAGGUGAACCUGCGGAAGGAUCAUUAGUGAACGCCCUCACGGGCUUAUAACUAUUCCAAACCUCUGUGAACCGUGCCCUUCGGGGCUAUUUUACAAACAUGGUGUAAUGAACGUCAUAUAUCAUAACAAAACAAAACUUUCAACAACAGAUCUCUUGGCUCUC
This 191-nucleotide unclassified non-coding RNA is filed under the name plant metagenome. RNAcentral describes it as "partial contains small subunit ribosomal RNA and internal transcribed spacer 1". The stretch from base 1 to 54 matches the Rfam family "Eukaryotic small subunit ribosomal RNA", at positions 1778 to 1831 of the family's 1831-position model. The record is from RNAcentral.